AUACAUGGGUCGAGGUGUAGUAUCUGCUCUUAUGAGAUUAAUAUCUGAUACGGGUUUUUUUUUUUUUUUUUGACCCAAGACAUUAAACUUAUUUUUGAAAGUUAGCGGAAUGCUGGAAGCCUUCUUCACCUCCGCCAGGUGUCGGCUCGAUAUCUCACUAUCUCCGGGAUCAGCCCACGGUCU
This is a small nuclear RNA of Dermacentor andersoni, 183 nucleotides long. RefSeq annotates it as U2 spliceosomal RNA. The record is from RefSeq and is a predicted model, not a curated record. NCBI's taxonomy places the organism in Eukaryota, Metazoa, Arthropoda, Arachnida, Ixodida, Ixodidae.